Molecule: ribosomal RNA, 273 nt
Filed under: uncultured bacterium
Lineage: Bacteria
Description: partial 16S ribosomal RNA
Rfam family: Bacterial small subunit ribosomal RNA
Source: RNAcentral
UACGGAGGGGGUUAGCGUUGUUCGGAAUUACUGGGCGUAAAGCGCACGUAGGCGGAUCAGAAAGUUGGGGGUGAAAUCCCGGGGCUCAACCCCGGAACUGCCUUCAAUACUGCCAGUCUUGAGUCCGAGAGAGGUGAGUGGAAUUCCUAGUGUAGAGGUGAAAUUCGUAGAUAUUAGGAAGAACACCAGUGGCGAAGGCGGCUCACUGGCUCGGUACUGACGCUGAGGUGCGAAAGCGUGGGGAGCAAACAGGAUUAGAUACCCCGGUAGUCC